This is a non-coding RNA of Caenorhabditis elegans, 63 nucleotides long. The record is from Ensembl. Lineage: Eukaryota; Metazoa; Nematoda; Chromadorea; Rhabditida; Rhabditidae.
AAAAUCGAUUUUUGGCGAAAAAUUCAAUUUUUUCGCUGUUGAAAAUGCGCUCUAUUGAGAAAA